GUUGAACGCUGGCGGCGUGCUUAACACAUGCAAGUCGAUCGGUAACGCGGGGGCAACCCUGGCGACGAGAGGCGGACGGGUGAGGAACGCUUGGGAAUCUGCCUAUCAGCGGGGGACAACACGGGGAAACUCGUGCUAAUACCGCAUACGCUCUACGGAGGAAAGCCGGGGACCGCAAGGCCUGGCACUGAUAGAUGAGCCCAAGCCGGAUUAGCUAGUUGGCGGGGUAACGGCCCACCAAGGCGACGAUCCGUAGCUGGUCUGAGAGGACGAUCAGCCACACUGGGACUGAGACACGGCCCAGACUCCUACGGGAGGCAGCAGUGGGGAAUAUUGGACAAUGGGGGAAACCCUGAUCCAGCGACGCCGCGUGGGUGAAGAAGGCCUGCGGGUUGUAAAGCCCUUUCGGUAGGGACGAAAGCUCUCGACCUAACACGUCGGGAGGUUGACUUAACCUACAAAAGAAGCACCGGCUAACUCUGUGCCAGCCGCCGCGGUAA
RNAcentral lists this ribosomal RNA (500 nucleotides) under uncultured bacterium. RNAcentral describes it as "partial 16S ribosomal RNA". It matches the Rfam family "Bacterial small subunit ribosomal RNA", at positions 28 to 523 of the family's 1533-position model. The record is from RNAcentral.